This 429-nucleotide ribosomal RNA is filed under the name uncultured Endozoicomonas sp. RNAcentral's name for it is "bacterial SSU rRNA". It matches the Rfam family "Bacterial small subunit ribosomal RNA", at positions 355 to 776 of the family's 1533-position model. The record is from RNAcentral. Lineage: Bacteria; Pseudomonadati; Pseudomonadota; Gammaproteobacteria; Oceanospirillales; Endozoicomonadaceae.
UGGGGAAUAUUGCACAAUGGGCGCAAGCCUGAUGCAGCCAUGCCGCGUGUGUGAAGAAGGCCUUAGGGUUGUAAAGCACUUUCAGCGAGGAGGAAAGGUUAAAGAUUAAUACUCUUUAGCUGUGACGUUACUUGCAGAAGAAGCACCGGCUAACUCCGUGCCAGCAGCCGCGGUAAUACGGAGGGUGCGAGCGUUAAUCGGAAUUACUGGGCGUAAAGCGUGCGUAGGCGGCUUGUUAAGUUGGAUGUGAAAGCCCCGGGCUCAACCUGGGAACUGCACCCAAAACUGGCAAGCUAGAGUGCGGAAGAGGAGUGUGGAAUUUCCUGUGUAGCGGUGAAAUGCGUAGAUAUAGGAAGGAACACCAGUGGCGAAGGCGACACUCUGGUCUGACACUGACGCUGAGGUACGAAAGCGUGGGGAGCAAACAGG